RNAcentral lists this ribosomal RNA (1542 nucleotides) under Salmonella enterica subsp. enterica serovar Senftenberg. RNAcentral's name for it is "bacterial SSU rRNA". It matches the Rfam family "Bacterial small subunit ribosomal RNA". The record is from RNAcentral. RNAcentral also lists the same sequence under 1 other name. Lineage: Bacteria; Pseudomonadati; Pseudomonadota; Gammaproteobacteria; Enterobacterales; Enterobacteriaceae.
AAAUUGAAGAGUUUGAUCAUGGCUCAGAUUGAACGCUGGCGGCAGGCCUAACACAUGCAAGUCGAACGGUAACAGGAAGCAGCUUGCUGCUUUGCUGACGAGUGGCGGACGGGUGAGUAAUGUCUGGGAAACUGCCUGAUGGAGGGGGAUAACUACUGGAAACGGUGGCUAAUACCGCAUAACGUCGCAAGACCAAAGAGGGGGACCUUCGGGCCUCUUGCCAUCAGAUGUGCCCAGAUGGGAUUAGCUUGUUGGUGAGGUAACGGCUCACCAAGGCGACGAUCCCUAGCUGGUCUGAGAGGAUGACCAGCCACACUGGAACUGAGACACGGUCCAGACUCCUACGGGAGGCAGCAGUGGGGAAUAUUGCACAAUGGGCGCAAGCCUGAUGCAGCCAUGCCGCGUGUAUGAAGAAGGCCUUCGGGUUGUAAAGUACUUUCAGCGGGGAGGAAGGUGUUGUCGUUAAUAACCACAGCAAUUGACGUUACCCGCAGAAGAAGCACCGGCUAACUCCGUGCCAGCAGCCGCGGUAAUACGGAGGGUGCAAGCGUUAAUCGGAAUUACUGGGCGUAAAGCGCACGCAGGCGGUCUGUCAAGUCGGAUGUGAAAUCCCCGGGCUCAACCUGGGAACUGCAUUCGAAACUGGCAGGCUUGAGUCUUGUAGAGGGGGGUAGAAUUCCAGGUGUAGCGGUGAAAUGCGUAGAGAUCUGGAGGAAUACCGGUGGCGAAGGCGGCCCCCUGGACAAAGACUGACGCUCAGGUGCGAAAGCGUGGGGAGCAAACAGGAUUAGAUACCCUGGUAGUCCACGCCGUAAACGAUGUCUACUUGGAGGUUGUGCCCUUGAGGCGUGGCUUCCGGAGCUAACGCGUUAAGUAGACCGCCUGGGGAGUACGGCCGCAAGGUUAAAACUCAAAUGAAUUGACGGGGGCCCGCACAAGCGGUGGAGCAUGUGGUUUAAUUCGAUGCAACGCGAAGAACCUUACCUGGUCUUGACAUCCACGGAAGAAUUCAGAGAUGGAUUUGUGCCUUCGGGAACCGUGAGACAGGUGCUGCAUGGCUGUCGUCAGCUCGUGUUGUGAAAUGUUGGGUUAAGUCCCGCAACGAGCGCAACCCUUAUCCUUUGUUGCCAGCGGUCCGGCCGGGAACUCAAAGGAGACUGCCAGUGAUAAACUGGAGGAAGGUGGGGAUGACGUCAAGUCAUCAUGGCCCUUACGACCAGGGCUACACACGUGCUACAAUGGCGCAUACAAAGAGAAGCGACCUCGCGAGAGCAAGCGGACCUCAUAAAGUGCGUCGUAGUCCGGAUUGGAGUCUGCAACUCGACUCCAUGAAGUCGGAAUCGCUAGUAAUCGUGGAUCAGAAUGCCACGGUGAAUACGUUCCCGGGCCUUGUACACACCGCCCGUCACACCAUGGGAGUGGGUUGCAAAAGAAGUAGGUAGCUUAACCUUCGGGAGGGCGCUUACCACUUUGUGAUUCAUGACUGGGGUGAAGUCGUAACAAGGUAACCGUAGGGGAACCUGCGGUUGGAUCACCUCCUUA